RNAcentral lists this ribosomal RNA (440 nucleotides) under uncultured bacterium. RNAcentral describes it as "partial 16S ribosomal RNA". It matches the Rfam family "Bacterial small subunit ribosomal RNA", at positions 338 to 795 of the family's 1533-position model. The record is from RNAcentral.
CCUACGGGAGGCAGCAGUGGGGAAUAUUGCACAAUGGGGGAAACCCUGAUGCAGCGACGCCGCGUGAGGGAAGAAGUUUUUCGGUACGUAAAGUCCUAUUAGCAGGGAAGAAAAUGACGGUAUCUGACUAAUCAGCCCCGGCUAACUCCGUGCCAGCAGCCGCGGUAAUACGUAGGGGGCAAGCGUUAUCCGGAUUUACUGGGCGUAAAGGGGGCGUAGACGGCCGCGCAAGUCUGGAGUGAAAUCCCAUGGCUUAACCAUGGAACUGCUUUUGAAACUAUGCAGCUGGAGUGCGGGAGAGGUAAGCGGAAUUCCUAGUGUAGCGGUAAAAUGCGUAGAUAUUAGGAGGAACACCAAUUGCGAAGGCGACUUACUGGACUGUAACUGACGUUGAGGCUCGAAAGCGUGGGGAGCAAACAGGAUUAGAUACCCGAGUAGUC